Small nucleolar RNA from Gossypium raimondii (Peruvian cotton), 94 nucleotides. It matches the Rfam family "Small nucleolar RNA snoR1". From Rfam's summary of the family: snoR1 is a member of the C/D class of snoRNA which contain the C (UGAUGA) and D (CUGA) box motifs. The record is from Rfam. NCBI's taxonomy places the organism in Eukaryota, Viridiplantae, Streptophyta, Magnoliopsida, Malvales, Malvaceae.
GGCAAAGAUGAAGAGUGCUUUUAGAAUUUCUGACACCUCUUGUAUGAGAAAAGCUAAGCUUUUCGUUGAGCAGAGAUAGCAAACUCUCUGAGCC